GCCCGGAUGGCGGAAUUGGUAGACGCACUAGGUUCAGGUCCUAGCGUUCGCAAGAACAUACGAGUUCAAGUCUCGUUUCGGGUA
This 84-nucleotide transfer RNA is filed under the name Treponema sp. RNAcentral describes it as "tRNA-Leu". It matches the Rfam family "tRNA". From Rfam's summary of the family: Transfer RNA (tRNA) molecules are approximately 80 nucleotides in length. Their secondary structure includes four short double-helical elements and three loops (D, anti-codon, and T loops). Further hydrogen bonds mediate the characteristic L-shaped molecular structure. tRNAs have two regions of fundamental functional importance: the anti-codon, which is responsible for specific mRNA codon recognition, and the 3' end, to which the tRNAs corresponding amino acid is attached (by aminoacyl-tRNA synthetases). tRNAs cope with the degeneracy of the genetic code in two manners: having more than one tRNA (with a specific anti-codon) for a particular amino acid; and 'wobble' base-pairing, i.e. permitting non-standard base-pairing at the 3rd anti-codon position. The record is from RNAcentral. Lineage: Bacteria; Pseudomonadati; Spirochaetota; Spirochaetia; Treponematales; Treponemataceae.